UCUUCUCCCCAGUGCUACGACAUCUAGGAGCACAGAGCAGCACUCUUCUCCCCAGUGCUGGACGACAUCUAGGAGCACAGAGCAGCACUCUUCUCCCCAGUGCUGGACGACAUCUAGGAGCACAGAGCAGCACUCAGUCUGGCCUAACACACACACAAACAUGCAUACACUUUCUAUCCUCCCGGGGACUUUUACUCCUGAAGGAUUGGCUCAACAAGUGUUCGACGUUUCUACCCUAUCGAUCGACAGUGGGAUGAAUGGACUCUACAAUUUGUGGCAGCCUCCCCAUUUAGGACAAAGUAGAUCCGCAAACAUGGACCAUCCACCUGGGUGCUCAACGACUGCAGCCAUUUUGUGCCAGAAGAACCUGAAUGGGAUCCAGUGAGCAUGUCUGAGGUGUUACACUUCAAAGUAGUCUGCUGUAUAAGGAGAGCUAUUUUCAAACCAAUGUUUUGUACAGAAUCAUUACUCUGUUGAUGGUUGAAGUAGAUUUGUCAUUGACUUUUUUUGCACUGGUUCUCCCAGCUGUGAACAUAUGAGAAGCCAGCACUGCAUUCCACCUAUGUUAAUGGAAAUAGUUUGCCGCAACAUCGACUUUUGUUCGGCGGUAUUGUUUAUGAAAACUGAUCCAAUGUGGUCGAGAUCCCAUAUUUUAUGCCAUCUGUUUUGUAGGUCAUAUUUGUGUGCAUUUGGAAGAAGCUGCAGGCCUGAAUCUCAAAUCAAUAUGAAAAAUAGGCACCAAUUGCUGUGAGGUUUAUAUGUUGCCAGUCUGUCUUUCCCAUUAAUAUGGGACCAAAGCUGAUUUAUCCAAAUACAUACAGAAUGAUCAGAGUUUUUUGAUGGCAUAAAAUAUAAUAGUCAGGGGACUUUGUUACAUCAUUUUGGGAGGAAUCUUAGAUUUUUGGUAUGAACUACCCCUUUAAAUCUCCCAACCCUGUCAAUGAUUGAUUUGUUCACGUGGCCAACUUUUUUCCUUAAUGAAUGUAUAAAAAAACAAACUUGUACAGGGGGAGAAGUAUUUAAAACUGUAGUACUGUUUUUAUAUUUUGCUGUUUUUAAAUAAAGGUAGACUUGAGUCAUU
This is a long non-coding RNA of Oncorhynchus tshawytscha (Chinook salmon), 1081 nucleotides long. RefSeq lists it as uncharacterized. The record is from RefSeq and is a predicted model, not a curated record. NCBI's taxonomy places the organism in Eukaryota, Metazoa, Chordata, Actinopteri, Salmoniformes, Salmonidae. The transcript has 2 exons.